AUGGUGCUGAGGUUCCAGAUCACCCAGGAGAGUCCAGAACCUCAGCCCCAGCCAGGACCCCGCAGGAGAAAGAGGAUCCAUCAUCGAGAUGGAUCCAGAACCUUCUGGAAGAACCUCAGGCCCCCCCGGGACACGCCCGGAUCCGGCUUUGCCUCAUCCCCAUCUCCCCUUUUUCCCGCAGGGCUCCGGGCGGCCGUGACCCUGCUGGAGUCCGGGGGGGACCUCCAGCCCCCCGGGGGGUCCCUGCGCCUCCUCUGCCGAGGGCAAGGAUUCAAUUUUGGGGAUUUUGGGAUGUUGUGGAUCCGCCAGAAACCCGGGAAGGCGCUGGAAUACGUCGCGAGCAUCUACAGCGAUGGACGGUACACCGACUACGCGCCAUCCGUGAAGGGCCGGUUCAGCAUCGCCAGGGACAACGGGCAGAGCUCGGUGACGCUGAGCAUGAACAACCUCCAGGACGAGGAUUCCGGCGUUUAUUUCUGUGCCAAAUGUGUUGAUGGUGGUGGUUGGGGUGCUGCUGCUUAUGGUGAUGAACCUUGUCCUCAUCACUGUGUCCACAAACCCCAGGAUUUUGCCCCAAAGCCCAGCCCUGACCCCGUUCCCGUCCGUCUGUCCCGGCUCUGA
Molecule: non-coding RNA, 621 nt
Organism: Cyanistes caeruleus (blue tit)
Lineage: Eukaryota; Metazoa; Chordata; Aves; Passeriformes; Paridae
Source: the annotation of a RefSeq genome assembly